Molecule: long non-coding RNA, 2718 nt
Organism: Anarrhichthys ocellatus (wolf-eel)
Lineage: Eukaryota; Metazoa; Chordata; Actinopteri; Perciformes; Anarhichadidae
Exons: 2
Source: RefSeq, a predicted model, not a curated record
CACCACCAUCACCUCCCUCUGUGCUCUCCCUCUUCCCUCUCUGCCUUCCUAGUGUGCAUAGCUUGCGAGUGUGCGUGUUUGUAGAGUUAGUGUGUGUACUUGUGCGUGCCUACCGUGUGUGUGUGUGUGUACGAGAAGGACCAACUUUAACACAUGAGUUGAACAAAUGAUAUCAAACGUUAACAUUGAGAAGUCACCUGUUUUUGAGUUGGGAUAGGAUUCUUUAAGAAGACCGUCACUCCUGUAGCUGUGGACUUUCUUGCUGGUUUGAAAGGAAAUACACUGUUGCCAGUUAUUUUUUUUAAAUUAUUGUUAAUAUUGCCUUUAAGGUUUAUAUUUUUUAUGAUUUUGGGAAUAUCGGUUGUCUUACGUGACUAGAGCAACAGCAAAUUAUUUCGUUUAGCUUCCCUCUUCAUAAAUAGAUCGGUAUAUCAGAAAUCCAUUGAUCUGUACAGAGCUUGAAUUUUAUGCAACUUUCUUUUUUUUAAUGGCUUCGUCAAUUGUUUUGACCAGCGUGGCUUCGAUAUACCGCCUUCAUUUACUUUCUCAUGUUUACCAUUGUGUCUUCAGUAUAAACUCCAAACUCUUUCAGAGAGGACGAGCUCCAUGUGGCGGACGGGGAAAGGUUUGGGAGUGAACGUUUGAAUGCUCUGCUUAAACAAAAAAAUCUGAAAACAAAAGCCGCAUGUCCUGUGACCAAGCAUGAACUGUAUGUGGUUUCUCAUUCCUAAUUUAAUUGUGAUUGUGCCCCCCCCCCAUGUUAGAGUAUACAUUAACCUCAUGGAUGUGUUUUUUUACAAUGAUUUGAAAACAAGCCAGUUUUUCUGCACUGGGCAGAGCACAGCUACCUCAAUAUGAUGAAAGAUAUUUUUUUGCUCCUCUCUACAUAGUUUCCUAAACGGUCUUGCUAAAGCGUAACAUCUGAGGUGUGCCACUAUUUACUUGUGCAGAAAACGAGAACAUUUUCCUUCCCUCUUAACAUUUUAAAGGAUAUAUUUUGUUUGUAUUGAUUUUUGACUUUCAUUAACUUUAUUUGUGUUUUGCUUCGGAGACGGAACUGAGUGGGGAUGAUGUACGUUAAUUAGCAUCUCCACGGCGUUUGAUUCAAAGGACCGUAAUAUGAAAAUCCUAAGAAAACAAACAAAAUACUAAUGCAGAACCUACUCCAAAUGCACUCGGAUUGCAAAUACGAGCCCAAAAUGUUGUUUUUUACUUCAAGGAAAAAUACCCAUAAACCCUUUGAAUCAAAGUGUUUUCUGUCUUUAUUUAAUAUGAUUGAGGCCAAUGGCUAUCAGCAUUACUCAAAUCUAAUGUCUCCUUUUUGUAUGUGCAUAUAAUACUUGAAUACAAAUCAUUUCAGACACGUGAAUGCUUCAGUGUACUUGGCACAACAUGACGGACCGGAGAUAUUCACAGCACAGAUCUUGUGUAUAUUUGACUCUUACAGGCUUUAAUAGUUGGUCUUAGUUUGUGCUGGACUCGCCACACUCUGUGGCAGCGUGUACAUGAUGCAGUCAGCUGCACUAAUCUUACACCACUUAGAGUUAAGUGUUUUUGUGUGUGUGAAUUUCCACCAGUGAGAAAUCUAAAGCAUGUUUUUUGGGUAGAAGCCUGGGCUUGUUCGCACGGUUUGUGUUCCACUUAACAACUGUGUGCUUUUCUUCCUCAAUGCCUUCCAUUGGCUCCCCUGUCACUAGAGUUGGCUCUCAUAAAAGCUUUCCUGAUUUUAAAGAGUGGGCUCAGAGGCUGGAGCUGUCUGCUGUCCAGCAUGUGUGCUCACUCUUAACUUCAGACACCGUGAUGACCAGCAGUGUGUGGACCCUUGCACAGACAAGAAAAAAAAAAAAAAAAAAGGACAUGUUUUCACAGUAAUACGACCAAAUACACAAGGGUAUACUUAAAAGUGGUUUGGGCUGGAAAUACACUUCCCCAUGCACCACAACACACACACACGCUUCUUAACACACUUAUACCUCUGUGUGCAGAUGCUAUAUCAAUACGACACUAUUCCAGUUUUGUGUGCGGGGACGUUUUCAACACCCGCAAUGUUCUUUCUUGCAUGAAGAUCUUGUUUCCAACCUCCAUGGUAGCUUAGAGAAUCUUUCAUCUUUAACAACUGGGUUGAAUGGUCUUAGCUGUGCAUCAGUGUACAAAACAUUCAUGCAUGCGUUCCAGCUGUAUGUAGGCUUUGCAAUUUGUAUUUAUAGUCUAAUGUAUAAUACUCAAAUGACAUAUUAAGAUGGAUAUAUCAUAGAUAUGUAAAUCACUGUUUUUAUUGUAACCGUUUGAGGAAUUUGCACAAAAUUAGACUUGGAGAGAUGACUCAUGCUGAAUUUGACUGUGCUCUUGAGUUUUUUUUUGUAAUGUUUAAUUUUUCCCCUUUGACAACUACUGUAGGCCGAUCACUGAUCCAUUUACUUUCUAAUGAAGUCGUCUGCAAUGAGGACAACAGACACUUUGAUUCAUUGGUAAACCUGCAAUACAACAUUGUUGUCUUAUUGCCUCUGCGUUAUUAUUAUUAUUAUCAUGUAUCUUUAUCAACUGCUGUAAAACUGUGAUCUAAUGUGAGGGGGCCCCAUGCCGGGCCCCUCAGCGACACCUGAUCGAAGAACAAUUAACACAUGUAAAAAGAUGAUCAUUAUUGAUGACUAAUAAUGGUUGUACAUGCAUUACUGAGGUUGUGGUUUCAGGUAAAUAAAACAUAGUAUUUGAAUUGUG